GAAAUGCGAUAAGUAAUGUGAAUUGCAGAAUUCAGUGAAUCAUCGAAUCUUUGAACGCACCUUGCGCUCCUUGGUAUUCCUUGGAGCAUGCCUGUUGAGUAUCAUGAAAUCUUCAAAGUAAAUCUUUUGUUAACUCAAUUGGUUUCUACUUUGGUAUUGGAGGUCUUUGCAGCUUCACACCUGCUCCUCUUUGUUCAUUAGCUGGAUCUCAGUGUUAUGCUUGGUUCCACUCGGCGUGAUAAGUUAUCUAUCGCUGAGGACACUGUAAAAGGUGGACAAGGUAAAUGCAGAUGAACCGCUUCUAAUAGUCCAUUGACUUGGACAAUACUUUUAUGAUCUGAUCUCAAAUCAGGUAGGACUACCCGCUGAACUUAAGC
This 377-nucleotide unclassified non-coding RNA is filed under the name plant metagenome. Its description in RNAcentral is "partial contains 5.8S ribosomal RNA, internal transcribed spacer 2, and large subunit ribosomal RNA". The stretch from base 1 to 104 matches the Rfam family "5.8S ribosomal RNA", at positions 50 to 154 of the family's 154-position model. The record is from RNAcentral.